RNAcentral lists this transfer RNA (83 nucleotides) under Cetobacterium ceti. It matches the Rfam family "tRNA". Rfam says of the family: Transfer RNA (tRNA) molecules are approximately 80 nucleotides in length. Their secondary structure includes four short double-helical elements and three loops (D, anti-codon, and T loops). The record is from Rfam by way of RNAcentral. Lineage: Bacteria; Fusobacteriati; Fusobacteriota; Fusobacteriia; Fusobacteriales; Fusobacteriaceae.
GCCUGAGUGGCGGAAUGGUAGACGCGACGGACUCAAAAUCCGUUUCCCCCAAAGGAGUAAGGGUUCAAGUCCCUUCUCAGGUA